UACGUAGGGUGCGAGCGUUGUCCGGAAUUAUUGGGCGUAAAGAGCUCGUAGGCGGUUUGUUGCGUCGGCCGUGAAAACCUGCAGCUUAACUGUGGGCCUGCGGCCGAUACGGGCAGACUUGAGUUCGGUAGGGGAGACUGGAAUUCCUGGUGUAGCGGUGAAAUGCGCAGAUAUCAGGAGGAACACCAAUGGCGAAGGCAACACUCUGGGACGUGACUGACGCUGAGACGCGAAAGCGUGGGGAGCAAACAGG
Molecule: ribosomal RNA, 253 nt
Filed under: uncultured bacterium
Lineage: Bacteria
Description: partial 16S ribosomal RNA
Rfam family: Bacterial small subunit ribosomal RNA
Source: RNAcentral